RNAcentral lists this ribosomal RNA (402 nucleotides) under Bacteroidota bacterium. Its description in RNAcentral is "Bacteroidetes bacterium partial 16S ribosomal RNA". It matches the Rfam family "Bacterial small subunit ribosomal RNA", at positions 355 to 776 of the family's 1533-position model. Lineage: Bacteria; Pseudomonadati; Bacteroidota. The record is from RNAcentral.
UGGGGAAUUUUGCACAAUGGGGGAAACCCUGAUGCAGCGACGCCGCGUAAUUUAGAAGGCCUUCGGGUUGUAAAAAUCUUUUCUAUGGGAAGAAAAUGACAGUACCAUAGGAAUAAGGACCGGCUAAUUACGUGCCAGCAGCCGCGGUAAUACGUAAGGUCCGAGCGUUGUCCGGAAUCAUUGGGCGUAAAGGGUACGUAGGCGGGUAAGCAAGUUAGAAGUGAAAUCCUGUAGCUCAACUACAGUAAGCUUUUAAAACUGCUCAUCUUGAGAUAUGGAAGGGAAAGUGGAAUUCCUAGUGUAGCGGUGAAAUGCGCAGAUAUUAGGAGGAAUACCGGUGGCGAAGGCGACUUUCUGGCCAUAAUCUGACGCUGAGGUACGAAAGCGUGGGUAGCAAACAGG